CUAUGGAACAGAGCAGAGAUACCAGCUGUGUAUUUUCUGAAAAAUGUUAGUGCAUGUUAAGGAAUGCAUACUUCAGCUUUUAUAUGAUGCAUAUCAGAUUUGAUAUCCUGGCUCUAUUCCCCUUCAUAUGAACCAGCAUCUUCAUGGCCGGCCAGCUGACACGCACUGGGACGUUUGCCCAAAAUUACCGGUCACGUUAACUACAGCAUAGAUGGACUUGCUGAGGUUGGCUCUGCGGUGCGGCGGCGCGAUACAGAGGGCAGCUAAUAGCUUUAAUCUACAAAGAUGACUUCCGCAGACCACCCAAGAAGGCCAGCACGUCAACUUCGGCGAAGUCGGCCACUCUCAGGUACACUGGAACCCAAUUUGGCCGGCGUUCAAGACGUAGCUACCUCAUUUUCCCCCCAGCGCUAAAGUUAAAUGAAUGGCCCAGUCGAAAUCACAGAGCUCCUCCAGCUCUUAAUUUGGCCGAGGUGCCGCGGUAACGGGAGCCUGGCUCACAUUACUGAUGCACAGCGAUGCCGGUCUCCCUCAAGUCAUCAGGGCGGCGCUCGGUGAUUUCUUAUUCUGGCCUGAUUCGAUCUAUACUCGCCAGGUCUGUUUGCAGCCAUCCAUCGAGCACA
Molecule: long non-coding RNA, 623 nt
Organism: Paramormyrops kingsleyae
Lineage: Eukaryota; Metazoa; Chordata; Actinopteri; Osteoglossiformes; Mormyridae
Source: RefSeq, a predicted model, not a curated record